Molecule: ribosomal RNA, 496 nt
Filed under: uncultured bacterium
Lineage: Bacteria
Description: partial 16S ribosomal RNA
Rfam family: Bacterial small subunit ribosomal RNA
Source: RNAcentral
AUGAACGCUGGCGGCGUGCCUAAUACAUGCAAGUCGAGCGAACAGACGAGGAGCUUGCUCCUCUGACGUUAGCGGCGGACGGGUGAGUAACACGUGGAUAACCUACCUAUAAGACUGGGAUAACUUCGGGAAACCGGAGCUAAUACCGGAUAAUAUAUUUAACCGCAUGGUUCAAUAGUGAAAGACGGUUUUGCUGUUACUUAUAGAUGGAUCCGCGCCGCAUUAGCUUGUUGGUAAGGUAACGGCUUACCAAGGCAACGAUGCGUAGCCGACCUGAGAGGGUGAUCGGCCACACUGGAACUGAGACACGGUCCAGACUCCUACGGGAGGCAGCAGUAGGGAAUCUUCCGCAAUGGGCGAAAGCCUGACGGAGCAACGCCGCGUGAGUGAUGAAGGUCUUCGGAUCGUAAAACUCUGUUAUUAGGGAAGAACAAAUGUGUAAGUAACUAUGCACGUCUUGACGGUACCUAAUCAGAAAGCCACGGCUAACUACGUG